Molecule: ribosomal RNA, 492 nt
Filed under: uncultured bacterium
Lineage: Bacteria
Description: partial 16S ribosomal RNA
Rfam family: Bacterial small subunit ribosomal RNA
Source: RNAcentral
AGUGAACGCUGGCGGUAGGCCUAACACAUGCAAGUCGAACGGCAGCACAGUAAGAGCUUGCUCUUACGGGUGGCGAGUGGCGGACGGGUGAGGAAUACAUCGGAAUCUACUUUUUCGUGGGGGAUAACGUAGGGAAACUUACGCUAAUACCGCAUACGACCUACGGGUGAAAGCAGGGGAUCUUCGGACCUUGCGCGAUUGAAUGAGCCGAUGUCGGAUUAGCUAGUUGGCGGGGUAAAGGCCCACCAAGGCGACGAUCCGUAGCUGGUCUGAGAGGAUGAUCAGCCACCCUGGAACUGAGAUACGGUCCAGACUCCUACGGGAGGCAGCAGUGGGGAAUAUUGGACAAUGGGCGCAAGCCUGAUCCAGCCAUACCGCGUGGGUGAAGAAGGCCUUCGGGUUGUAAAGCCCUUUUGUUGGGAAAGAAAAGCAGCAGGUUAAUACCCCGCUGUUCUGACGGUACCCAAAGAAUAAGCACCGGCUAACUUCGUG